GUGACCUGGGAGACCACGCCCAGUCUUCUGUCAUCGGAGGAGACCGAGGACGAGCGUUCUGUGUUGGAGGCCAUGAUGUCACACCCUCAUUGGAAAAUCAUCAACAGGGUCCUGUUGAGGAAGAACAAGAGCGUAGCUGAGCUGCAGGAGCGCUCGGAGGAGGUCAUGGAGUGGGUUCUCAAGGUG
Long non-coding RNA from Osmerus eperlanus (European smelt), 186 nucleotides. RefSeq lists it as uncharacterized. The transcript is spliced from 3 exons. The record is from RefSeq and is a predicted model, not a curated record. NCBI's taxonomy places the organism in Eukaryota, Metazoa, Chordata, Actinopteri, Osmeriformes, Osmeridae.